RNAcentral lists this ribosomal RNA (381 nucleotides) under marine Metazoa environmental sample. RNAcentral describes it as "SSU rRNA". It matches the Rfam family "Eukaryotic small subunit ribosomal RNA", at positions 587 to 972 of the family's 1831-position model. Lineage: Eukaryota; Metazoa. The record is from RNAcentral.
AGCUCCAAUAGCGUAUAUUAAAGUUGUUGCAGUUAAAAAGCUCGUAGUUGGAUCUCGGGUCCAGGCCUGCGGUUCGCCUCACGGCGACUACUGCUUGCCCUGACCUACCUGCCGGUCUAUCCUUGGUGCUCUUGACUGAGUGUCUCGGGUUGCCGGAACGUUUACUUUGAAAAAAUUAGAGUGUUCAAAGCAGGCAAUUCGCCUGAAUACUGGUGCAUGGAAUAAUGGAAUAGGACCUCGGUUCUAUUUUGUUGGUUUUCGGAACUCGAGGUAAUGAUUAAGAGGGACGGACGGGGGCAUUCGUAUUACGGUGUUAGAGGUGAAAUUCUUGGAUCGCCGUAAGACGAACUACUGCGAAAGCAUUUGCCAAGAAUGUUUUCA